UAGGGAAUCUUCCGCAAUGGGCGAAAGCCUGACGGAGCAACGCCGCGUGAGGGAUGAAGGUCUUCGGAUCGUAAAACUCUGUUAUUAGGGAAGAACAAAUGUGUAAGUAACUAUGCACGUCUUGACGGUACCUAAUCAGAAAGCCACGGCUAACUACGUGCCAGCAGCCGCGGUAAUACGUAGGUGGCAAGCGUUAUCCGGAAUUAUUGGGCGUAAAGCGCGCGUAGGCGGUUUUUUAAGUCUGAUGUGAAAGCCCACGGCUCAACCGUGGAGGGUCAUUGGAAACUGGAAAACUUGAGUGCAGAAGAGGAAAGUGGAAUUCCAUGUGUGGCGGUGAAAUGCGCAGAGAUAUGGAGGAACACCAGUGGCGAAGGCGACUUUCUGGUCUGUAACUGACGCUGAUGUGCGAAAGCGUGGGGAUCAAACAGG
RNAcentral lists this ribosomal RNA (429 nucleotides) under Actinomycetes bacterium. Its description in RNAcentral is "Actinobacteria bacterium partial 16S ribosomal RNA". It matches the Rfam family "Bacterial small subunit ribosomal RNA", at positions 355 to 776 of the family's 1533-position model. The record is from RNAcentral. Lineage: Bacteria; Bacillati; Actinomycetota; Actinomycetes.